CCAGUCGGCCGGGCGGCCGCGCGCGCAAUCGUCGAAAGGCGGCGCGCGAGGAAAGUCCGGGCUCCACGGAAAGACGGUGCCGGACAAGCUCCGGCGAGGGCGACCUCAGGGAAAGUGCCACAGAAAGCAGACCGCCCCGCUUUCAGAGCGGCCGCCAGGCCGCUGUGAUGGCGGGGUAAGGGUGAAAGGGUGGGGUAAGAGCCCACCGCGCUGCCGGAAACGGGAGCGGCACGGCAAACCCCACCGGGAGCAAGACCGAAUAGGGACGGCGCGAAGGGCGACCUUCAGGCUCUUUCCGGCCGAGCCGUCCGGGUUGGUUGCACGAGGCGGGCAGCGAUGCCCGUCCCAGAGGAAUGGCCGCCACGUUCCGCCGCCUCCGGGCUGCGGGGCCAUACAGAACCCGGCUUACAGGCCGACUGGCACU
RNAcentral lists this RNase P RNA (424 nucleotides) under Rhizobiales bacterium 68-8. RNAcentral describes it as "RNase P RNA component class A". It matches the Rfam family "Bacterial RNase P class A". Rfam says of the family: Ribonuclease P (RNase P) is a ubiquitous endoribonuclease, found in archaea, bacteria and eukarya as well as chloroplasts and mitochondria. Its best characterised activity is the generation of mature 5'-ends of tRNAs by cleaving the 5'-leader elements of precursor-tRNAs. Cellular RNase Ps are ribonucleoproteins. Lineage: Bacteria; Pseudomonadati; Pseudomonadota; Alphaproteobacteria; Hyphomicrobiales. RNAcentral also lists the same sequence under 1 other name. The record is from RNAcentral.